UACGUAGGGUGCAGGCGUUAAUCGGAAUUACUGGGCGUAAAGCGUGCGCAGGCGGCUCCUUAAGUCAGAUGUGAAAUCCCCGGGCUUAACCUGGGAACUGCGUUUGAAACUGGGAAGCUGGAGUGUAGAAGAGGGGGGUGGAAUUCCAGGUGUAGCAGUGAAAUGCGUAGAGAUCUGGAGGAACACCGAUGGCGAAGGCAGCCCCCUGGGCUAACACUGACGCUCAUGCACGAAAGCGUGGGGAGCAAACAGG
This 253-nucleotide ribosomal RNA is filed under the name uncultured bacterium. RNAcentral's name for it is "partial 16S ribosomal RNA". It matches the Rfam family "Bacterial small subunit ribosomal RNA", at positions 524 to 776 of the family's 1533-position model. The record is from RNAcentral.